GAAGGUGAAGGGCAGGGGAAAGGAAAGACACAUUGACCAGGAAGAGGAGGAAGUUUUCAUGAUACCAUUGAUCAGUGCCAAAGCCCCAUUGCCUGUGGAGAAGGUGAUGUUUGAAUUCCUUGUACAGCUGCAAUUCGUGUGUUGAAGGUGCUCCCACAAUGUGGUUGGGGUGCUAGAUGGUGAAGAUUUGCAGACUGAAAUCUCAACAUCAUGUGCUGAUCGUGAUAAAGUUAACCAGAAUUUGAAGAACCAAAGAUAGAGAAUCACUCGGCCAAAAUCCUGCAACACUCGCCCUCCCAGCAUUGUCGGUUUAUCUGCGCCAAGUGGACUGUGAAUGGUUCAAGACAGCAGCUCACUCCCAUCUUCUC
This is a non-coding RNA of Chiloscyllium plagiosum (whitespotted bambooshark), 368 nucleotides long. Lineage: Eukaryota; Metazoa; Chordata; Chondrichthyes; Orectolobiformes; Hemiscylliidae. The record is from RefSeq and is a predicted model, not a curated record.